AGAGUUUGAUCCUGGCUCAGGACGAACGCUGGCGGCGUGCCUAAUACAUGCAAGUCGAGCGGACUGUUCCUUCGGGAACAGUUAGCGGCGGACGGGUGAGUAAUACGUAGGCAACCUGCCUGUAAGACCGGGAUAACUAUCGGAAACGAUAGCUAAGAGCGGAUAGCUGGUUUGCCCGCAUGGGCGAAUCAUGAAACACG
This 200-nucleotide ribosomal RNA is filed under the name uncultured bacterium. RNAcentral describes it as "partial 16S ribosomal RNA". It matches the Rfam family "Bacterial small subunit ribosomal RNA", at positions 8 to 210 of the family's 1533-position model. The record is from RNAcentral.